GCCUGGGUGGCUCAGUCGGUUGAGCGUCUGACUUUGGUUCAGGUCAUGACCUCACAGUUCGUGAGUUCGAGCCCCGCGUCGGGCU
This 85-nucleotide transfer RNA is filed under the name Felis catus (domestic cat). It matches the Rfam family "tRNA". Rfam says of the family: Transfer RNA (tRNA) molecules are approximately 80 nucleotides in length. Their secondary structure includes four short double-helical elements and three loops (D, anti-codon, and T loops). Lineage: Eukaryota; Metazoa; Chordata; Mammalia; Carnivora; Felidae. The record is from Rfam by way of RNAcentral.